Molecule: ribosomal RNA, 450 nt
Filed under: Triticum aestivum (bread wheat)
Lineage: Eukaryota; Viridiplantae; Streptophyta; Magnoliopsida; Poales; Poaceae
Description: partial small subunit ribosomal RNA
Source: RNAcentral
AUGCGUCUUCUUGCUCCAGCAUUCAAGUUCCAUUUCAAGGGAGGACGACGUACCAUGAUACUUUCUGUUUUGUCGAGCCCUGCUUUGGUCUCUGGUUUGAUGGUUGUACGUGCUAAAAAUCCGGUACAUUCCGUUUUGUUUCCCAUCCUAGUCUUUUGCGACACUUCUGGUUUACUUAUUUUGUUAGGUCUCGACUUCUCCGCUAUGAUCUCCCCAGUAGUUCAUAUAGGAGCUAUUGCCGUUUCAUUCCUAUUCGUGGUUAUGAUGUUCAAUAUUCAAAUAGCGGAGAUUCACGAAGAAGUAUUGCGCUAUUUACCAGUGAGUGGUAUUAUUGGACUGAUCUAUUGGUGGGAAAUGUUCUUCAUUUUAGAUAAUGAAACCAUUCCAUUACUACCAACCCACAAAAAUACGACCUCUCUGAGAUAUACGGUUUAUGCCGGAAAGGUAUGA